UAUUAAUUUGAUUUUAUUUAAGUUAAUUCAAUAUUUUUGGUUAAUUCUUUUAUUAAGAUUUAUCCAAUUGGAUUCAAUUCAGUUUGAUGUAAUCAAUUUUAUUUUAUUCUAUUAAAAUUUUUUUUAAUUGCCUAUAGUUUUACUUCUUGUCUGCAGAUCACUCUAUACUUGCACCGUUAAUUGCAGCUGGGAGCAGAAGUCUCAGCCCCCUUCUGGAAGGUCAUGGUGCAGCACAGAAGAUCCCUGCUAAGUUUUGGAGUCAUUGCCUGCUUGCAAAGGCCUUCCUUCCCGAACCCCAAGGGUAUCCUUCCUACCCAUAACAUUUUGAUGCCUAACGUGUUUGGCUCUCCUGAAAGCUACUCCUGUACCCCGGAUCAUCCACGAGGACACAGAUUCUCAGCCAGAUAGGGACUAGCCAACCUAAUUAAGACAAAGUGAGAAGAUUCUUGAAGGCCUCUCCUGUUGGGAAGAGAUCAAGUCUAAGAAGCCUGAGAGAAAAUUCAGUUGGAUUUUUGGUUUGUUUGUUUUCUCUCAUGUUAAAUAGCUGAGCAACAUAAAAAAAAUGAUGAGGAAAUUGACUUUUUGUUACCCUAAAUUCUAACACCAGGUGGCAAUUGGACAUAUUUUAUGGACAGAAGCUCUGUACCUUUUAGCUUUAUUCUCUCACCAGGAUCCCAGUUCCCCAAACUCUACUCUUCACUUAGAUUUUAAGGCAAGGGCCCACCUAAAAAAACCCAGGUGGAGAUGGGGUGGGGGGAAGGAAACAGGGAAGCUUUUCAGUUCACUGAUCUGCCUCUGCUCUGCCACUGAUCUGCCACUGAUCUCAGAUCAGAUCUGCCUUCCUCCUCUACUGCAGAGAGGAAGGAUUGAUUCUGAACAGAAAAACUGGUGAGACACCCCUAUUUUGGGGAUUUUUUAAUGUUUUACACUUUUAAAACUAAGUUUUUUUCAACUUGUAGAACAACCUAUUAAUUAUCUUCUGUUUUGAGGUAAACAGGGAGAGAUAAGAAGACCUAAUAAAUCUCCUUUCCCUGUCUGCUAGCCA
This 1045-nucleotide long non-coding RNA is filed under the name Monodelphis domestica (gray short-tailed opossum). RNAcentral describes it as "lncRNA (ENSMODG00000036924.1)". Lineage: Eukaryota; Metazoa; Chordata; Mammalia; Didelphimorphia; Didelphidae. The record is from RNAcentral.